RNAcentral lists this ribosomal RNA (690 nucleotides) under uncultured Candidatus Tremblayella sp. RNAcentral's name for it is "bacterial SSU rRNA". It matches the Rfam family "Bacterial small subunit ribosomal RNA", at positions 674 to 1359 of the family's 1533-position model. The record is from RNAcentral. Lineage: Bacteria; Pseudomonadati; Pseudomonadota; Betaproteobacteria.
AGUAGCGGUGAAAUGCGUAGAUAUCUGGAGGAAUACCAAAGGCGAAGGCAGUCCCCUGGUCCGAUACUGACACUGAGGUACGAAAGCGUGGGGAGCAAACAGGAUUAGAUACCCUGGUAGUCCACGCCCUAAACGAUGUCGAUUAGCCAUUGGAAGGACCCCUUUUCCUUUCAGUGACGUAGCUAACGCGUUAAAUCGACCGCCUGGGAAGUACGACCGCAAGGUUAAAACUCAAAGGAAUUGACGGGGACCUGAACAAGCGGUGAAUGAUGUGGAUUAAUUCGAUGCUAUGCGAAGAACCUUACCUACCUUUGACAUGGCCAAAGUUCUACCGAGAGGCGGAAGUACUCGUAAGAGGAUUGGCGCACAGGUGCUGCAUGGUUGUCGUCAGUUCGUGUCGUGAGAUGUUGGGUUCAGUCCCGCAACGAACGCAUCCCUUAUCUUUAAUUGCUCCUAUUUUAACAGGCACUUUAAAGAAACUGCCAAUGAUAAGUUGGAGGAAGGUGGGGAUCACGUCAAGUCCGCAUGGCCUUUAUAGGUAGGGCUUCACACGUCAUACAAUGGUUAGAACAAAGAGCUGCAAAUUCGUAAGAAGGAGCCAAUCUCACAAACCUAACCUCAGUUCGAAUUGCGGUCUGCAACUCGAGCGCAUGAAGCCGGAAUCGCUAGUAAUCGUGGAUCAGAAUGCCA